RNAcentral lists this ribosomal RNA (422 nucleotides) under uncultured bacterium. RNAcentral's name for it is "bacterial SSU rRNA". It matches the Rfam family "Bacterial small subunit ribosomal RNA", at positions 75 to 513 of the family's 1533-position model. The record is from RNAcentral.
CCAGCUUGCUGGGGUACACGAGUGGCGAACGGGUGAGUAACACGUGGGUGACCUGCCCCGCACUUCGGGAUAAGCCUGGGAAACUGGGUCUAAUACCGGAUAGGACCGCAUUGUGAGGAUGUGGUGGAAAGUUUUUUCGGUGUGGGAUGGGCCCGCGGCCUAUCAGCUUGUUGGUGGGGUAAUGGCCUACCAAGGCGGCGACGGGUAGCCGGCCUGAGAGGGUGGACGGCCACAUUGGGACUGAGACACGGCCCAGACUCCUACGGGAGGCAGCAGUGGGGAAUAUUGCACAAUGGGCGGAAGCCUGAUGCAGCGACCCCGCGUGGGGGAUGACGGCCUUCGGGUUGUAAACUCCUUUCACCAUCGACAAAGGUUUUCUGACGGUAGAUGGAGAAGAAGCACCGGCUAACUACGUGCCAGCA